Molecule: non-coding RNA, 1054 nt
Organism: Jatropha curcas
Lineage: Eukaryota; Viridiplantae; Streptophyta; Magnoliopsida; Malpighiales; Euphorbiaceae
Source: RefSeq, a predicted model, not a curated record
AUGGUUAUUCUUUUUCAAGCUGAUGCUGUUUGUGUUCCGUCAAAGCUCUUUAAGGGAAAGCAAUUCUUAAGGAAGUCUGGUGGAGGCCUAGCCGGUCACUUGGAAGAGACAAAACUCUAUGAAUUGGCAAGCAAAAUUUCUUAUUGGCCAAAGAUGUGGGAACGAGAUUUCAAGACUGUUGGAGGGUGUAAUACUUUGCAUUAUAAGACAUCAAAGUCCCCUGAGUAUGAGUGCCUUCGGUCACCUGGGUAUGGUUACAAGCAAAAGAGAAAAGGCUUGUAAAUCGUGUUAUAUAUGUGAAUACCUUAAGUCUUUGGGGAUAAUUUCCUGAUGGAAUUAGAAAACUUAGAGCUUCCAUCAACUGUGGAGGUGUAUGAAGGGAGCGUGUUGAGUUCUUGCAGAAGCUAGGAUUAAGACGAUUGAAUGAUAUUAAGAUACCCUUUAAUGCCUAGGCAUGUAGUGUAAGGAAAAAAUAUGAUAACCUGUGCUGGUAUUUGGAAAGGUUGGCAUUAGCAGGCCCAAACUUGGGAGUUAUUAAGAAUUAUCCACAAGUGUUGCACCUAGCGUUGGUAGUUGACUUAUGCCGCUGUUAGGUUCUUCGUGGCUAGACGUGGGAGAGAACAGGAUAUUGGGUAUGUUUUGCAAAAGUAUUCCUGAGCUUCUCGGAUUUAAGCUUGAAGGAACCAUGAUCACUUCUGUUGCUUAUCUUGUAAAGCAUUGGGCGUUAAUCCUAGAGAUAUCCGGCCCGAUGUGACACAGUAUCCAUACUUUUUAGGAUAGGGUAGGAACUAUGAUUACGCCCAGCUUGUUGAUAUUUGGUUUCUUUUGGGUUUGGCCAAGAAAAUAGUCAGCGAGAAUGGCUGGAGAACGAGGGCAUAUUUACUUUGGUUAAUGAUCUUUGAAGAGCCCUGUUAAGCUGAAUGUGGAUUUGCUUAGUUAGUUUUGGAAUUCAGUAACGAAUCACUGCCUUCCAUUAACUAGCACAGUAUCCGCAAAUUCUGGAUUGCCUUUGGGGAAAGCUAAGUUAUCUUCGCAGCAGUAUUCUUCAGCUUGA